UACGUAGGGUCCAAGCGUUAUCCGGAAUUACUGGGCGUAAAGCGUGCGCAGGCGGUGAUGUAAGACAGGUGUGAAAUCCCCGGGCUUAACCUGGGAACUGCAUUUGUGACUGCAUCGCUGGAGUGCGGCAGAGGGGGAUGGAAUUCCGCGUGUAGCAGUGAAAUGCGUAGAUAUGCGGAGGAACACCGAUGGCGAAGGCAAUCCCCUGGGCCUGCACUGACGCUCAUGCACGAAAGCGUGGGGAGCAAACAGG
RNAcentral lists this ribosomal RNA (253 nucleotides) under uncultured bacterium. RNAcentral describes it as "partial 16S ribosomal RNA". It matches the Rfam family "Bacterial small subunit ribosomal RNA", at positions 524 to 776 of the family's 1533-position model. The record is from RNAcentral.